This 257-nucleotide ribosomal RNA is filed under the name uncultured bacterium. Its description in RNAcentral is "partial small subunit ribosomal RNA". It matches the Rfam family "Bacterial small subunit ribosomal RNA", at positions 26 to 285 of the family's 1533-position model. The record is from RNAcentral.
AGGACGAACGCUGGCGGCGUGCUUAACACAUGCAAGUCGAGCGGUAAGGCCUCCUUCGGGGGUACACGAGCGGCGAACGGGUGAGUAACACGUGGGUGACCUGCCCUCAGCUCUGGGAUAAGCCUGGGAAACCGGGUCUAAUACCGGAUGGACUGCUUGCCGCAUGGUGGGUGGUGGAAAGUUUUUUCGGCUGGGGAUGGGCCCGCGGCCUAUCAGCUUGUUGGUGGGGUGAUGGCCUACCAAGGCGGUGACGGGUA